UAUAUGUGCCUAGUCUUUAUUCAUAGACUAGAGUAAAAAGUGGAUGUUGCUGGGACUGUUUUUCUGAUUAUGGUGGUGGUGGUUCUGAAAUGUUCUGUCUGUCCACAAAUUAAACACAGUGUUUCCCUCUACCAGAGGCUAUAUGCAAGUGGACAGCACUUGCCUGUCAGAAUUAAUUGGAAGCCAACUCACACUAGGGGCCACUGCUGCUCCUAUCAGCCUUUAAUGUACUGUGAUGUGUUUCCUGGAUAUUCCGGGACCCUAGGGCACUCUCUGUUCUUUCCAGGCAUCUCACAGAAGAUUCAAAAGUAGAAAAAUCUACAGAGGAGAAUAUCUGUAAGCUCCCCAGAGUCCACCACGUUCUUAUUAACUGACACUGAAAGCCUCAGUAACUCCGUCCGAAACAUUUGUAGGAGAAAGAAUCAAAAGCAUUUCUUUACUUACAGUUCCUUGAAAUUACAGACUCGGGUAUACUGCUUUCUUUACUGUACACAUACUGGCAACCAACUGAUCAACAGCAGCAAAAGAACCUACCACCAACUGACAAAAGAUAGGAAUAGAACACUCAGCAGAAAGUCUUGACCCUCUUUGAAUUUCAAAAGCUUGAGGGAACAAUUGCUCAGUGUUGGAUAGAUAAUCAUCCUAGUCCAGAAACAUUGCUCCCAGUCACUCAAACUACAGACAGCAUGUGAGGUUGUAAGUAAAACUUCAAGAAAUUAAUCAUGAUACUUAUUGGCUGUUGAGACGAUUAAGACUUAUGGUGAGCCUUUCUAGGGUUUUCUACAUACACAAUAUUCAGAAAUGUUUUACCAUCCUGUGACAAUGCAGCUUGCCAAGGGCUACACAGGCUUUUCUCCUGGAAGUACCAUGGAGGAUCAAGCUUACAACCUCUGCCUCCUCAGCCAGAUGUAGGCACAUAAAGGAAUAAGGAGAGGUUGAAUAUUUAUUCAUCGGUCAAUGAUCCUUCAUUUGUGGAUGAAGUUGCAUUCUUUGCUGGUUUCAAACAAGCCACACUUCGCACACUUGUCUCCCUCUUCAAACAACUCAUUCUAAAUGUUGUAGUGAUAUAGUACAAACCUGUAACUGAAUAAACCUGCUUAACAAUAAAUAA
Molecule: non-coding RNA, 1111 nt
Organism: Pogona vitticeps (central bearded dragon)
Lineage: Eukaryota; Metazoa; Chordata; Lepidosauria; Squamata; Agamidae
Source: RefSeq, a predicted model, not a curated record